Molecule: long non-coding RNA, 2409 nt
Organism: Sander lucioperca (pikeperch)
Lineage: Eukaryota; Metazoa; Chordata; Actinopteri; Perciformes; Percidae
Source: Ensembl
AUGUUCCUACAGUCCUAUGUUCCCAUAGCCCUAUGUUCCCACAGCCCUAUGUUCCCACAGCCCAAUGGUCCCACAGGCCUAUGUUCCCACAGCCCUAUGUUCCCACAGCCCUAUGUUCCUACAGCCCUAUGUUCCCACAGCCCUAUGUUCCUACAGCCCCAUGUUCCCACAGCCCUAUGUUCCCACAGCCCUAUGUUCCCACAGCCCUAUGUUCCUACAGCCCUAUGUUCCCACAGCCCUAUGUUCCCACAGCCCUAUGUUCCCACAGCCCUAUGGUCCCACAGCCCUAUGUUCCUACAGUCCUAUGUUCCCACAGCCCAAUGGUCCCACAGCCUAUGUUCCUACAGUCCUAUGUUCCUACAGCCCUAUGUUCCCACAGCCCUAUGUUCCCACAGCCCUAUGUUCCUACAGCCCUAUGUUCCUACAGCCCUAUGUUCCCACAGCCCUAUGGUCCCACAGCCCUAUGUUCCCACAGCCCUAUGUUCCCACAGCCCUAUGUUCCCACAGUCCUAUGUUCCCACAGCCCUAUGUUCCCACAGUCCUAUGUUCCCACAGCCCUAUGUUCCUACAGUCCUAUGUUCCCACAGCCCUAUGUUCCCACAGCCCUAUGUUCCCACAGCCCAAUGGUCCCACAGCCCUAUGUUCCUACAGGCCUAUGUUCCCACAGCCCUAUGUUCCUACAGCCCUAUGUUCCCACAGCCCUAUGUUCCCACAGCCCUAUGUUCCCACAGCCCAAUGGUCCCACAGCCCUAUGUUCCCACAGGCCUAUGUUCCCACAGCCCUAUGUUCCUACAGCCCUAUGUUCCCACAGCCCUAUGUUCCUACAGCCCUAUGUUCCCACAGCCCUAUGUUCCUACAGCCCCAUGUUCCCACAGCCCCAUGUUCCCACAGCCCUAUGUUCCCACAGCCCUAUGUUCCUACAGCCCUAUGUUCCCACAGCCCUAUGUUCCCACAGCCCUAUGUUCCCACAGCCCUAUGGUCCCACAGCCCUAUGUUCCUACAGUCCUAUGUUCCCACAGCCCAAUGGUCCCACAGCCUAUGUUCCUACAGCCCUAUGUUCCCACAGCCCUAUGUUCCCACAGCCCUAUGUUCCCACAGCCCUAUGUUCCCACAGCUCUAUGUUCCUACAGCCCAAUGUUCCCACAGCCCUAUGUUCCUACAGUCCUAUGUUCCCACAGCCCAAUGGUCCCACAGCCCUAUGUUCCCACAGGCCUAUGUUCCCACAGCCCUAUGUUCCUACAGCCCUAUGUUCCCACAGCCCUAUGUUCCUACAGCCCUAUGUUCCCACAGCCCUAUGUUCCCACAGCCCUAUGUUCCCACAGCCCAAUGGUCCCACAGCCCUAUGUUCCCACAGGCCUAUGUUCCCACAGCCCUAUGUUCCUACAGCCCUAUGUUCCCACAGCCCUAUGUUCCUACAGCCCUAUGUUCCCACAGCCCUAUGUUCCUACAGCCCCAUGUUCCCACAGCCCCAUGUUCCCACAGCCCUAUGUUCCCACAGCCCUAUGUUCCUACAGCCCUAUGUUCCCACAGCCCUAUGUUCCCACAGCCCUAUGUUCCCACAGCCCUAUGGUCCCACAGCCCUAUGUUCCUACAGUCCUAUGUUCCCACAGCCCAAUGGUCCCACAGCCUAUGUUCCUACAGCCCUAUGUUCCCACAGCCCUAUGUUCCCACAGCCCUAUGUUCCCACAGCCCUAUGUUCCCACAGCUCUAUGUUCCUACAGCCCAAUGUUCCCACAGCCCUAUGUUCCUACAGUCCUAUGUUCCCACAGCCCAAUGGUCCCACAGCCCUAUGUUCCCACAGGCCUAUGUUCCCACAGCCCUAUGUUCCUACAGCCCUAUGUUCCCACAGCCCUAUGUUCCCACAGCCCUAUGUUCCCACAGCCCUAUGUUCCCACAGCUCUAUGUUCCUACAGCCCAAUGUUCCCACAGCCCUAUGUUCCUACAGUCCUAUGUUCCCACAGCCCAAUGGUCCCACAGCCCUAUGUUCCCACAGGCCUAUGUUCCCACAGCCCUAUGUUCCUACAGCCCUAUGUUCCCACAGCCCUAUGUUCCCACAGCCCUAUGUUCCCACAGUCCUAUGUUCCCACAGCCCUAUGUUCCCACAGCCCUAUGGUCCCACAGCCCUAUGUUCCCACAGCCCUAUGUUCCCACAGCCCUAUGUUCCUACAGUCCUAUGUUCCCACAGCCCUAUGUUCCCACAGCCCUAUGGUCCCACAGCCCUAUGGUCCCACAGCCCUAUGUUCCCACAGCCCUAUGGUCCCACAGCCCUAUGUUCCCACAUUUCCUUUUUCAUAUAUUUGUAUCAGAUUGUAUCCCCCUAACCCUAACCCUAACAAAUGUUGUGGGAGGAUAGGGCUUAAAUUGAAGGGAAAUGUAGAAACACAUGACCUAAUUUUGAAAAUGUCCUAG